AGCUUUGCGCAGUGGCAGUAUCGUAGCCCUUGAGGUCAAUCCGAGGCGUGAUUAUUGCUAAUUGAAAACUUUGCAAUACCCGCCAUGAUGACUUGAAAUACAGUCAGCGUGGCAAUUUUGAUAGUCUGGGGGAGA
This 135-nucleotide small nuclear RNA is filed under the name Pelobates cultripes (western spadefoot toad). It matches the Rfam family "U4 spliceosomal RNA". Rfam says of the family: U4 small nuclear RNA (U4 snRNA) is a component of the major U2-dependent spliceosome. Lineage: Eukaryota; Metazoa; Chordata; Amphibia; Anura; Pelobatidae. The record is from RNAcentral.